Molecule: ribosomal RNA, 413 nt
Filed under: uncultured bacterium
Lineage: Bacteria
Description: bacterial SSU rRNA
Rfam family: Bacterial small subunit ribosomal RNA
Source: RNAcentral
GGGCCCGCACAAGCGGUGGAGUAUGUGGUUUAAUUCGAUGCAACGCGAAGAACCUUACCAGGGCUUAAAUGUAGUGGGACAGGUCUAGAGAUAGACCCUUCUUCGGACUCAUUACAAGGUGCUGCAUGGUUGUCGUCAGCUCGUGCCGUGAGGUGUCAGGUUAAGUCCUAUAACGAGCGCAACCCCUAUCGUUAGUUGCCAGCGAGUAAUGUCGGGAACUCUAACGAAACUGCCAGUGCAAACUGUGAGGAAGGUAAGGACGACGUCAAGUCAUCAUGCCCCUUACACUCUGGGCUACACACGUGCUACAUUGGCCGGUACAGAGAGCAGCCACUACGCGAGUAGGAGCGAAUCUACAAAACCGGUCUCAGUUCGGAUCGGAGUCUGCAACUCGACUCCGUGAAGCUGGAAUC